AGUGAACGCUGGCGGUAGGCCUAACACAUGCAAAUCGAACGGCAGCACAGUAAGAGCUUGCUCUUACGGGUGGCGAGUGGCGGACGGGUGAGGAAUACAUCGGAAUCUACUUUUUCGUGGGGGAUAACGUAGGGAAACUUACGCUAAUACCGCAUACGACCUACGGGUGAAAGCAGGGGAUCUUCGGACCUUGCGCGAUUGAAUGAGCCGAUGUCGGAUUAGCUAGUUGGCGGGGUAAAGGCCCACCAAGGCGACGAUCCGUAGCUGGUCUGAGAGGAUGAUCAGCCACACUGGAACUGAGACACGGUCCAGACUCCUACGGGAGGCAGCAGUGGGGAAUAUUGGACAAUGGGCGCAAGCCUGAUCCAGCCAUACCGCGUGGGUGAAGAAGGCCUUCGGGUUGUAAAGCCCUUUUGUUGGGAAAGAGAAGCAGCAGGUUAAUACCCCGCUGUUCUGACGUUACCCAAAGAAUAAGCACCGGCUAACUUCGUG
This 492-nucleotide ribosomal RNA is filed under the name uncultured bacterium. RNAcentral describes it as "partial 16S ribosomal RNA". It matches the Rfam family "Bacterial small subunit ribosomal RNA", at positions 29 to 507 of the family's 1533-position model. The record is from RNAcentral.